GAUGAAUGCUUGGUCAAAUUAUUCCUAAUUUCCAGACUGUUGGCAGCAAGAAGGUAUACAAGUUGCCUGAGAUACUGGGAGUGUUUGAGGCCAAGAGCUUGGCCAUCAAUAUAUGCCACAGAAAUGGAAGUUGAAGCCUAAAAGCUGCUGUAACUAGUUCUGUGAGAAGUUAGGAGUCACUACAAUCUAUUUACGCAAAGGAAAAUGUUCCAUGGAUCUUUAGGAUCACUUUGUACUGUUGACAUAGCCAUGACAUGGUGUGCGAUCAGGAAUUCAAGGAAGCUGAGCUCAUCUGCAGCCCCCAUUGACUUCAGUGGAAAAUGCCGGCACCUUGUUCUUCUGAAACUUAAUAAAGGUUCAUGAACUGAUGAUUAUUACUUACCUGUUCCUCACUGCCUGCCUCUGAUCCCCUGCUUGAACUUGUAUAACAUUCUAUUUGUGACAUCAGAAGUUGUUGCCAUGGAAAUGACUGCAGCAUUAGAAAGACAGGAAGGGUCAGGGAUCUCUUUAAGAAGGAAAGGAUUCUGUGCAUGCGGGUGGGCUGUGUUGCAAGGAAAGAAAAUACUCAGCACCUCCAGUACAAGGUCAGCUGCCGGAUGACUGCACUAGACAACACAGAAUUCGAAGGAAGCGGGCAGCCUUCGGUGGAGAAAGAACAGGUGUGUUUGCCAGCUUCUGCCUUCUUGGAAAAGAGAGAGGAUUCAGCACUAACAGCUCCAACCCAUUCCUCUUUUCUCAAAAAAAUUCCUAACUCCUAAAAGACUGUCAGACAGGGAGUCUCCUUCUAGAAUGCCUCCACAACUAAAUGGAAAGGGAACAAGGGAUUUUUAAUAUGAAAGCCUUAUGUAUGACCUUACAUUUCAAAUAUCAACUGUUUCGGGGUUGGGGGAAUUCCCUUCUUAUCUUAAAGAUUCUGAUACAGUUCUUAAAGAGAUUUGUAGUAGGUGUUUUAUGCCCUGGUACUAAGCAGGCUGAGGUCUUUCUACCAAACCCUCAACCUUCUUUAACUGUAUUUAAUAUUGGCAUGUAACAGAUUGCUGUCAUGUCUUUGACUCUUUGGGCUCCUCCAUUGUAUCUAACUUAAUACAACAGGAGGGAAGGAAAAUAAUCCAAAUUAGGGGAGGUGCUGGAUUCAUUUUCUGUUUGUCAAUUUUAGCAAUAGUCUUCGAAGAUGACGCUCUUGAUUCAUCCACACCAAAAGCACAGAGACAAUGUAAGCUUUCCCAUGAUGUCCCACUAAUGUACUCUGAGCCAUAAUCCAGAGACUGACCAUUUGUGGGGGUGAAAAAGUAAUUCAGUGUCUAUUCUUAUUCUGACCUUGGGCUCAUGGAGGAGUCUGCCAACAAGUAUUUUGAGUAGUGUCCAUUGUCAUGUACUUCUUUGCGUGUCUGUUGAGUAUCAGCUCAUUGGGAAUUUAUGUGAAAUUAUCCCAGUAAUCUCAGUUCAGACUCCAAAAACCUGUUUAAAAUGGUUCCA
This is a non-coding RNA of Pelodiscus sinensis (Chinese soft-shelled turtle), 1476 nucleotides long. Lineage: Eukaryota; Metazoa; Chordata; Testudines; Trionychidae. The record is from RefSeq and is a predicted model, not a curated record.